Molecule: ribosomal RNA, 256 nt
Filed under: uncultured prokaryote
Description: partial 16S ribosomal RNA
Rfam family: Bacterial small subunit ribosomal RNA
Source: RNAcentral
AAUACGUAGGGUGCAAGCGUUGUCCGGAAUUAUUGGGCGUAAAGAGCUCGUAGGCGGUCUGUUGCGUCGGCUGUGAAAACCCGGGGCUCAACUCCGGGCCUGCAGUCGAUACGGGCAGACUAGAGUUCGGCAGGGGAGACUGGAAUUCCUGGUGUAGCGGUGAAAUGCGCAGAUAUCAGGAGGAACACCGGUGGCGAAGGCGGGUCUCUGGGCCGAUACUGACGCUGAGGAGCGAAAGCGUGGGGAGCGAACAGGA